This 588-nucleotide ribosomal RNA is filed under the name uncultured bacterium. RNAcentral's name for it is "bacterial SSU rRNA". It matches the Rfam family "Bacterial small subunit ribosomal RNA", at positions 338 to 916 of the family's 1533-position model. The record is from RNAcentral.
CCUACGGGAGGCAGCAGUGGGGAAUCUUGCGCAAUGGGGGAAACCUUGACGCAGCAACGCCGCGUGGGUGAUGAAGGCCUUCGGGUCGUAAAGCCCUGUCAGGUGGGAAGAAACUUGUGGAUGAUAAUACCAUCCACACUUGACGGUACCACCGGAGGAAGCACCGGCUAACUCCGUGCCAGCAGCCGCGGUAAUACGGAGGGUGCAAGCGUUGUUCGGAAUUACUGGGCGUAAAGCGCGUGUAGGCGGUUGGGCAAGUCAGAUGUGAAAGCCUUCUGCUUAACAGAAGAAGUGCAUUUGAAACUACCCGGCUAGAGUACGGGAGAGGAGAGUGGAAUUCCCGGUGUAGAGGUGAAAUUCGUAGAUAUCGGGAGGAACACCAGUGGCGAAGGCGGCUCUCUGGCCCGAUACUGACGCUGAGACGCGAGAGCGUGGGGAGCAAACAGGAUUAGAUACCCUGGUAGUCCACGCCCUAAACGGUGGAUACUUGGUAUGGGGGGUAUCGACCCCCUCCGUGCCGAAGCUAACGCUUUAAGUAUCCCGCCUGGGAACUACGGUCGCAAGACUAAAACUCAAAGGAAUUGACGG